UACGGGGGGGCAAGCGGUUGUUCGGAAUUACUGGGCGUAAAGGGGCUCGUAGGUGGCCAACUAAGUCGGACGUGAAAUCCCUCGGCUUAACCCGGGGAACUGCAUCCGGAUACUGGAUGGCUUGAGUUCGGGAGAGGGAUGCGGAAUUCCAGGGUGUAGCGGUGAAAUUCGUAGGAUAUUGGGAAAGAACACCGGUGGCGA
Molecule: ribosomal RNA, 201 nt
Filed under: uncultured bacterium
Lineage: Bacteria
Description: partial 16S ribosomal RNA
Rfam family: Bacterial small subunit ribosomal RNA
Source: RNAcentral